RNAcentral lists this ribosomal RNA (422 nucleotides) under uncultured archaeon. RNAcentral's name for it is "partial 16S ribosomal RNA". It matches the Rfam family "Archaeal small subunit ribosomal RNA", at positions 323 to 746 of the family's 1478-position model. The record is from RNAcentral.
CUACGGGGCGCACCAGGCGCGAAACCUUUACACUGCACGAAAGUGUGAUAAGGGAACUCUAAGUGCUUACCUUUUGGUAGGCUUUUGCCAAAAUUAAACCCUUUGGCGAAUAAGUGGUGGGAAAGACGGGUGCCAGCCGCCGCGGUAACACCUGCGCCACAAGUGGGAACCAUUUUUAUUGGGCCUAAAGCGUCCGUAGCCGAUCCAGCAAAUCUUCUGUGAAACUGUUAUGCUCAACAUAAUAACGUGCAGGAGACACUACUUGGAAUUGGAACUGGAAGGAGUCAGAAGUAUUUCUGGGGGAGCGGUAAAAUGUUAUAAUCUCAGAAAGACUACCUGUGGCGAAAGCGUCUGACUAGUACAGAUUCGACGGUGAGGGACGAAAGCCAGGGGAGCAAUCCGGAUUAGAUACCCGAGUAGUC